GACCAUCUCUAUUGCCUCUGUCUCUUCCAUUGGGGUCUCUUUUGUUGGAAUCUCCUUUAUUGGAGUCUUUAUCAUGGACACGGAUGAUGAAACUGUGGACUCGGCAAUCAAAGGGGGAUUCUCAUUUUCCACGACUGUGGUAGCUGUUUCGAUGGUCGGAACCUUGUCAUCGCCAUCUGCUAGGGCUGAAGGACCAACGAACGAAACUUUGGCCUACCUUCUUUGGGCCGAUGCC
Molecule: long non-coding RNA, 235 nt
Filed under: Elaeis guineensis (African oil palm)
Lineage: Eukaryota; Viridiplantae; Streptophyta; Magnoliopsida; Arecales; Arecaceae
Description: long non-coding RNA (EGUI_LNC037905)
Source: RNAcentral